Molecule: small nucleolar RNA, 89 nt
Filed under: Fukomys damarensis (Damara mole-rat)
Lineage: Eukaryota; Metazoa; Chordata; Mammalia; Rodentia; Bathyergidae
Description: Small nucleolar RNA SNORD14 (ENSFDAG00000005470.1)
Source: RNAcentral
UCAUUGUGAUGAUGGAUUACCAAAUAUAUGUUUUCUACCAGAAAAGUUUUUCUUCAUGUUGAGCAAUUUUUCUUUGGAUGUCUGAGAGA